This 453-nucleotide ribosomal RNA is filed under the name Paraburkholderia graminis. Its description in RNAcentral is "partial 23S ribosomal RNA". It matches the Rfam family "Bacterial large subunit ribosomal RNA", at positions 1 to 494 of the family's 2925-position model. Lineage: Bacteria; Pseudomonadati; Pseudomonadota; Betaproteobacteria; Burkholderiales; Burkholderiaceae. The record is from RNAcentral.
GGUCAAGCGAACAAGUGCAUGUGGUGGAUGCCUUGGCGAUCACAGGCGAUGAAGGACGCGGUAGCCUGCGAAAAGCUACGGGGAGCUGGCAAACGAGCUUUGAUCCGUAGAUGUCCGAAUGGGGAAACCCACCUCUUUUGAGGUAUCCGUGGCUGAAUACAUAGGCCAUGCGAAGCGAACGCGGUGAACUGAAACAUCUAAGUAACCGCAGGAAAAGAAAUCAACCGAGAUUCCCAGAGUAGUGGCGAGCGAAAUGGGACCAGCCUGUACUCUUUAUCUUCAUUGUUAGUCGAAGGCUCUGGAAAGUGCCGCCAUAGCAGGUGAUAGCCCUGUAGACGAAAACAGCGAGGAAGAACUAGGUGUACGACAAGUAGGGCGGGACACGUGAAAUCCUGUCUGAAGAUGGGGGGACCAUCCUCCAAGGCUAAAUACUCGUGAUCGACCGAUAGUGAA